CAGAGGGGGCAAGCGUUGUUCGGAAUUACUGGGCGUAAAGGGCGCGUAGGCGGCCUGUUAAGUCGAACGUGAAAUCCCCGGGCUCAACCCGGGAACUGCGUCCGAUACUGGCAGGCUUGAAUUCGGGAGAGGGAUGUGGAAUUCCAGGUGUAGCGGUGAAAUGCGUAGAUAUCUGGAGGAACACCGGUGGCGAAGGCGGCAUCCUGGACCGAUAUUGACGCUGAUGCGCGAAAGCCAGGGGAGCAAACGGGAUUAGAUACCCCGGUAGUCCUGGCCCUAAACGAUGAAUGCUUGGUGUGGCGGGUAUCGAUCCCUGCCGUGCCGAAGCUAACGCAUUAAGCAUUCCGCCUGGGGAGUACGGUCGCAAGGCUG
This 372-nucleotide ribosomal RNA is filed under the name uncultured organism. RNAcentral describes it as "bacterial SSU rRNA". It matches the Rfam family "Bacterial small subunit ribosomal RNA", at positions 526 to 896 of the family's 1533-position model. The record is from RNAcentral.